GCUGAACGCUGGCGGCGUGCCUAAUACAUGCAAGUCGAGCGGCCAGACGAGGAGAUUGCUCCUCUGCCGGUAGCGGCGGGCGGGCGGGUAAGAAGUGGAUAACCAUCUAAUAAUUCGGGGAUAACUACGGGAAAACGGAGCUAAUACUGGCUCAUAUAUCGAACGGCAUGGAUCAAUGGAGCAUGAGGGCUUUGGCGUCACAAUUAGACGGGGCCGCAUUAGCUAGUUGGCGGGGUAAGGUCAUACCAAGCCAACGAUACGUAGCUGGCCUGAGAGGAUGAUCAGCCACACUGGAACUGAGACACGGUCCAGACUCCUACGGGAGGCAGCAGUAGGGAAUCUUGCACAAUGGGCGAAAGCUUGACGCAGCAACGCCGCGUGGGUGAAGAAGGCCUUCGGAUUGUAAAGCUCUGUUAUUGGGAAAGAACAGAUGUAUGAGAAUCUAUGCACGUCUUGACGGUACCUAAUCAGAAAGCAACGGCUAACUUCGUG
This 492-nucleotide ribosomal RNA is filed under the name uncultured bacterium. RNAcentral's name for it is "partial 16S ribosomal RNA". It matches the Rfam family "Bacterial small subunit ribosomal RNA", at positions 28 to 507 of the family's 1533-position model. The record is from RNAcentral.